Molecule: long non-coding RNA, 358 nt
Filed under: Androctonus crassicauda
Lineage: Eukaryota; Metazoa; Arthropoda; Arachnida; Scorpiones; Buthidae
Source: RNAcentral
AAGAAAGUGGCAUUUAGAGCCUAUUUUAAGAGGGCACAUUUAUAUACUACCAAUCAGAGAGACCUCAAAAAGGAGUUGGAGUUUAUAUGUGAAAUUGGAGGGAGGCGUGGACACAGGUGCGGGUUCAUGGGGCAAGUGCAGAGGGGUGUUGAACAUGACAUGUGCGCCAAAGGAUCUACCAGCUUAGAUUCAGAAGGCGGAGCAGAGAAUGAUAGAUGUGUGCUGAUGCCAUUGAAAGUUGCAAACCGCGCCACAACGAAGACCAUCUUAAACAAGAUUGGGAUGAGGCCAGUGAUGUAUGGAGCGCCCGCCGUCUUCGGUGGCAUAAGAGGCGAGAGGUCGGGGUCAAGAGUCAGGA